Molecule: long non-coding RNA, 763 nt
Filed under: Struthio camelus australis
Lineage: Eukaryota; Metazoa; Chordata; Aves; Struthioniformes; Struthionidae
Description: lncRNA (ENSSCUG00000001824.1)
Source: RNAcentral
UUUCUGUUUAUUUAUUGGAGCAGUGAAAUUCUUCAGGAUCUCAUGAAACAUGCAGCUCUGGAACAUAAAGUAGCCUCUCUAAUAAGGUGUGAUGGAUAGGAAUGUAGAUAGGAUGUAUGUCUUUAUGUCCUAGCCCCAGUCUCACAGAGCAAAGAGGGAUUAGUUAUAAAUUUUCACUCUGAACUGAGGGUCAGGUCAGUGUCAGUUUAGUGAAGACUUACACUAUGCAUUGUCUGCUUUUUCAUCACUGUGGUUCUGAAAGGAAUAUCUAACCAUGUGACUGUAUUUGAAAAUUAAAAGUCUCUAAAUAAUGAGUGUAAGUGCAUUAGAUAACAAGCCCUCUUGUCUCCCCCAGGUUUCCUUUGCAUAUCAGAGGGAAAUGACAACACUCAGCAUAUUUUUAAAGCUCUGCUCUGCCUGAUUGUCUGUUAGUUGGUCACUGUGCUGAGCGCAGGGGCGGAGGGAAGACGGAAAGGUGGCGAGCGCCCUUGUCCCUGCGCCAGCCCUCCUCGGUGUGUGCGCCGUGUGUCGGAGCAGCUCCCGCGCCGUGGGACGCCAGGGAGACGUGGAGCACAGCAGCUGACUGGCCAUGCCUCUUCCCGCGGGUUUUCUGCCUAGCUCCUCUCCUCCACGCACACGUAAGCCUGUCCCUGAGCACGUUGAAAGGGGUCUUUUUACUGGUCCCCACUUACCAGGGUUGUCUUGUUGCAUCUGACUUUCACAAGUCUCAGAAACAGAGUUUUUCUGUUAGUUUUCAGUUUUG